ACGAGUGGUGCAAGCGUUAUUCGGAAUAAUUGGGCGUACAGGGUGUGUAGGCGGCAUGUUAAGUCUGUUGUUAAAUUCUCCAGCCUAACUGGAGACAGGCAGCGGAAACUGGCGUGCUAGAGGGCGGAAGAGAGAAGUGGAAUUCUCGGUGUAGCGGUAAAAUGCGUAGAUAUCGGGAGGAACACCGAUGGCGAAGGCGGCUACCUGGACCAUUCCUGACGCUGAGUCACGAAAGCGUGGGGAGCAAACAG
This 251-nucleotide ribosomal RNA is filed under the name uncultured prokaryote. RNAcentral describes it as "partial 16S rRNA". It matches the Rfam family "Bacterial small subunit ribosomal RNA", at positions 525 to 775 of the family's 1533-position model. The record is from RNAcentral.